This 908-nucleotide ribosomal RNA is filed under the name Curvularia uncinata. RNAcentral describes it as "LSU rRNA". It matches the Rfam family "Eukaryotic large subunit ribosomal RNA", at positions 38 to 963 of the family's 3401-position model. Lineage: Eukaryota; Fungi; Ascomycota; Dothideomycetes; Pleosporales; Pleosporaceae. The record is from RNAcentral.
GCAUAUCAAUAAGCGGAGGAAAAGAAACCAACAGGGAUUGCCUUAGUAACGGCGAGUGAAGCGGCAACAGCUCAAAUUUGAAAUCUGGCCCUUUUAGGGUCCGAGUUGUAAUUUGCAGAGGGCGCUUUGGCUUUGGCAGCGGUCCAAGUUCCUUGGAACAGGACGUCACAGAGGGUGAGAAUCCCGUACGUGGUCGCUAGCUAUUGCCGUGUAAAGCCCCUUCGACGAGUCGAGUUGUUUGGGAAUGCAGCUCUAAAUGGGAGGUAAAUUUCUUCUAAAGCUAAAUAUUGGCCAGAGACCGAUAGCGCACAAGUAGAGUGAUCGAAAGAUGAAAAGCACUUUGGAAAGAGAGUCAAACAGCACGUGAAAUUGUUGAAAGGGAAGCGCUUGCAGCCAGACUUGCUUGCAGUUGCUCAUCCGGGCUUUUGCCCGGUGCACUCUUCUGCAGGCAGGCCAGCAUCAGUUUGGGCGGUGGGAUAAAGGUCUCUGACACGUUCCUUCCUUCGGGUUGGCCAUAUAGGGGAGACGUCAUACCACCAGCCUGGACUGAGGUCCGCGCAUCUGCUAGGAUGCUGGCGUAAUGGCUGUAAGCGGCCCGUCUUGAAACACGGACCAAGGAGUCUAACAUCUAUGCGAGUGUUUGGGUGUCAAGCCCGAGCGCGUAAUGAAAGUGAACGGAGGUGGGAACCCGCAAGGGCGCACCAUCGACCGAUCCUGAAGUUUACGGAAGGAUUUGAGUAAGAGCAUGGCUGUUGGGACCCGAAAGAUGGUGAACUAUGCUUGAAUAGGGUGAAGCCAGAGGAAACUCUGGUGGAGGCUCGCAGCGGUUCUGACGUGCAAAUCGAUCGUCAAAUUUGGGCAUAGGGGGCGAAAGACUAAUCGAACUAUCUAGUAGCUGGUUCCUGCGA